This 73-nucleotide transfer RNA is filed under the name Bos taurus (domestic cattle). It matches the Rfam family "tRNA". Rfam says of the family: Transfer RNA (tRNA) molecules are approximately 80 nucleotides in length. Their secondary structure includes four short double-helical elements and three loops (D, anti-codon, and T loops). Further hydrogen bonds mediate the characteristic L-shaped molecular structure. tRNAs have two regions of fundamental functional importance: the anti-codon, which is responsible for specific mRNA codon recognition, and the 3' end, to which the tRNAs corresponding amino acid is attached (by aminoacyl-tRNA synthetases). tRNAs cope with the degeneracy of the genetic code in two manners: having more than one tRNA (with a specific anti-codon) for a particular amino acid; and 'wobble' base-pairing, i.e. permitting non-standard base-pairing at the 3rd anti-codon position. Lineage: Eukaryota; Metazoa; Chordata; Mammalia; Artiodactyla; Bovidae. RNAcentral also lists the same sequence under 3 other names. The record is from Rfam by way of RNAcentral.
UCCUUGGUGGUCUAAUGGUUAAGAUUCCACACUUCCACUGCAGGGGAUUCAGGUUCGAUCCCUGGUCAAGGAA